This 523-nucleotide ribosomal RNA is filed under the name uncultured bacterium. RNAcentral describes it as "bacterial SSU rRNA". It matches the Rfam family "Bacterial small subunit ribosomal RNA", at positions 8 to 526 of the family's 1533-position model. The record is from RNAcentral.
AGAGUUUGAUCMUGGCUCAGGAUGAACGCUAGCGGGAGGCCUAACACAUGCAAGUCGAGGGGUAACAGGUGUAGCAAUACAUGCUGACGACCGGCGCACGGGUGAGUAACGCGUAUGUAACCUGCCCUAUACUGGGGGAUAGCUCGGAGAAAUUCGGAUUAAUACCCCAUAGUACAUAACUAUCGCAUGAUACUUAUGUUAAAGCUUCGGUGGUAUAGGAUGGGCAUGCGUCCCAUUAGCUAGUUGGUGAGGUAACGGCUCACCAAGGCGACGAUGGGUAUGGGGUCUAAAAGGAUGGUCCCACACACUGGUACUGAGACACGGACCAGACUCCUACGGGAGGCAGCAGUGAGGAAUAUUGGUCAAUGGGCGGAAGCCUGAACCAGCCAUCCCGCGUGCAGGAAGACGGCCCUAGAGGUUGUAAACUGCUUUUCUACAGGAAUAAUAAGGACUACGCGUAGUUCGAUGCCAGUACUGUAGGAAUAAGCAUCGGCUAACUCCGUGCCAGCCGCCGCGGUAAUWC